GAUGAACGCUAGCGGCAGGCUUAAUACAUGCAAGUCGUGGGGCAGCAGGUUUGUAGCAAUACAGAUGCUGGCGACCGGCAAACGGGUGCGGAACACGUACAGAACCUUCCUUUGAGCGGGGAAUAGCCCAGAGAAAUUUGGAUUAAUACCCCAUAGUAUAAUGAAGUGGCAUCACUUUAUUAUUAAAGAUUUAUCACUCGAAGAUGGCUGUGCGGCUGAUUAGGUAGUUGGCGGGGUAAAUGCCCACCAAGCCUGCGAUCAGUAACUGGUGUGAGAGCACGACCAGUCACACGGGCACUGAGACACGGGCCCGACUCCUACGGGAGGCAGCAGUAAGGAAUAUUGGUCAAUGGAGGCAACUCUGAACCAGCCAUGCCGCGUGGAGGAUGAAGGUCCUCUGGAUUGUAAACUUCUUUUAUAUGGGACGAAAAAAGGCUUUUCUAAGUCGUCUGACGGUACCAUAUGAAUAAGCACCGGCUAACUCCGUGCCAGCAGCCGCGGUAA
Molecule: ribosomal RNA, 504 nt
Filed under: uncultured bacterium
Lineage: Bacteria
Description: bacterial SSU rRNA
Rfam family: Bacterial small subunit ribosomal RNA
Source: RNAcentral